Molecule: ribosomal RNA, 496 nt
Filed under: uncultured bacterium
Lineage: Bacteria
Description: partial 16S ribosomal RNA
Rfam family: Bacterial small subunit ribosomal RNA
Source: RNAcentral
GAUGAACGCUGGCGGCGUGCCUAAUACAUGCAAGUCGAGCGAACAGACGAGGAGCUUGCUCCUCUGACGUUAGCGGCGGACGGGUGAGUAACACGUGGAUAACCUACCUAUAAGACUGGGAUAACUUCGGGAAACCGGAGCUAAUACCGGAUAAUAUAUUGAACCGCAUGGUUCAAUAGUGAAAGACGGUUUUGCUGUCACUUAUAGAUGGAUCCGCGCCGCAUUAGCUAGUUGGUAAGGUAACGGCUUACCAAGGCAACGAUGGGUAGCCGACCUGAGGGGGGAUUCGGCCACACUGGACCUGAAACACGGUCCAGACCCCUACGGGAGGCAGCAGUAGGAAAUCUUCCGCAAGGGGCGAAAGCCUGACGGAGCAACGCCGCGUGAGUGAUGAGGGUCUUCGGAUCGUAAAACUCUGUUAUUGGGGAAGAACAAAUGUGUAAGUAACUAUGCACGUCUGGACGGUACCUAAUCAGAAGGCCACGGCUAACUACGU